This 301-nucleotide ribosomal RNA is filed under the name uncultured bacterium. RNAcentral's name for it is "partial 16S ribosomal RNA". It matches the Rfam family "Bacterial small subunit ribosomal RNA", at positions 509 to 809 of the family's 1533-position model. The record is from RNAcentral.
CAGUCGCCGCGGUAAUACGGAGGGUGCAAGCGUUAAUCGGAAUUACUGGGCGUAAAGCGCACGCAGGCGGUCUGACAAGUCAGAUGUGAAAUCCCCGGGCUUAACCUGGGAACUGCAUUUGAAACUGUCAGGCUGGAGUCUUGUAGAGGGGGGUGGAAUUCCAGGUGUAGCGGUGAAAUGCGUAGAGAUCUGGAGGAAUACCGGUGGCGAAGGCGGCCCCCUGGACAAAGACUGACGCUCAGGUGCGAAAGCGUGGGGAGCAAACAGGAUUAGAGACCCGUGUAGUCCCUGUCUCUUAUCC